GCGAGCGGCGGAUGGGUGAGUAACACGUGGGGAACCUGCCCCUAAGUCUGGGAUACCAUUUGGAAACAGGUGCUAAUACCGGAUAAUAAAGCAGAUCGCAUGAUCAGCUUUUGAAAGGCGGCGUAAGCUGUCGCUAAGGGAUGGCCCCGCGGUGCAUUAGCUAGUUGGUAAGGUAACGGCUUACCAAGGCGACGAUGCAUAGCCGAGUUGAGAGACUGAUCGGCCACAUUGGGACUGAGACACGGCCCAAACUCCUACGGGAGGCAGCAGUAGGGAAUCUUCCACAAUGGACGCAAGUCUGAUGGAGCAACGCCGCGUGAGUGAAGAAGGUUUUCGGAUCGUAAAGCUCUGUUGUUGGUGAAGAAGGAUAGAGGUAGUAACUGGCCUUUAUUUGACGGUAAUCAACCAGAAAGUCACGGCUAACUACGUGCCAGCAGCCGCGGUAAUACGUAGGUGGCAAGCGUUGUCCGGAUUUAUUGGGCGUAAAGCGAGCGCAGGCCGGAAAAAUAAGUCUAAUGUGAAAGCCCUCGGCUUAACCGAGGAACUGCAUCGGAAACUGUUUUUCUUGAGUGCAGAAGAGGAGAGUGGAACUCCAUGUGUAGCGGUGGGAAUGCGUAGAUAUAUGGAAAGAACACCAGUUGGCCGAAGGCGGCCUCUCUGGUCUGCCACUGACGCU
This 676-nucleotide ribosomal RNA is filed under the name uncultured bacterium. RNAcentral's name for it is "bacterial SSU rRNA". It matches the Rfam family "Bacterial small subunit ribosomal RNA", at positions 91 to 747 of the family's 1533-position model. The record is from RNAcentral.